AUCCUCUUCAUGGAGUCCUUUAUAAAUGGAGGAAUAAAAAAAACCCACAGCCAUUGCACUCCGGAUGUGCUGACCCCUGCGAUUUCCCCAAAUGUGGGAAACUCGACUGCAUAAUUUGUGGUAGUGGGGGACUGCGUUCGCGCUCUCCCCUA
RNAcentral lists this small nuclear RNA (152 nucleotides) under Dasypus novemcinctus (nine-banded armadillo). RNAcentral describes it as "U1 spliceosomal RNA (ENSDNOG00000027444.1)". It matches the Rfam family "U1 spliceosomal RNA". Rfam says of the family: U1 is a small nuclear RNA (snRNA) component of the spliceosome (involved in pre-mRNA splicing). Its 5' end forms complementary base pairs with the 5' splice junction, thus defining the 5' donor site of an intron. Lineage: Eukaryota; Metazoa; Chordata; Mammalia; Cingulata; Dasypodidae. The record is from RNAcentral.